RNAcentral lists this ribosomal RNA (500 nucleotides) under uncultured bacterium. RNAcentral describes it as "partial 16S ribosomal RNA". It matches the Rfam family "Bacterial small subunit ribosomal RNA", at positions 30 to 523 of the family's 1533-position model. The record is from RNAcentral.
AUUGAACGCUGGCGGAAUGCUUUACACAUGCAAGUCGAACGGCAGCACGGACUUCGGUCUGGUGGCGAGUGGCGAACGGGUGAGUAAUGUAUCGGAACGUGCCCAGUCGUGGGGGAUAACGUAGUGAAAAUUACGCUAAUACCGCAUACGAUCUAUGGAUGAAAGCGGGGGAUCGCAAGACCUCGCGCGAUUGGAGCGGCCGAUAUCAGAUUAGGUAGUUGGUGGGGUAACGGCCCACCAAGCCAACGAUCUGUAGCUGGUCUGAGAGGACGACCAGCCACACUGGAACUGAGACACGGUCCAGACUCCUACGGGAGGCAGCAGUGGGGAAUUUUCGACAAUGGGCGAAAGCCUGAUCCAGCCAUUCCGCGUGCAGGAUGAAGGCCCUCGGGUUGUAAACUGCUUUUGUACAGAACGAAAAGGUUUCUACUAAUACUUGGAGCUCAUGACGGUACUGUAAGAAUAAGCACCGGCUAACUACGUGCCAGCCGCCGCGGUAA